RNAcentral lists this long non-coding RNA (484 nucleotides) under Helianthus annuus (common sunflower). Lineage: Eukaryota; Viridiplantae; Streptophyta; Magnoliopsida; Asterales; Asteraceae. The record is from RNAcentral.
AAACCCUAAAUAAAUAUCACCACCUCCAUAUUUACGUACAACAAUCAUGAGGUUUUAUAAUUCUUUUGCAAACCCUUCUUCCUCCCACUUGUUGCGACGGCUAUGGACCCCUCCUCACCUUUGUCGAAGUCUCUUCUUCUUAGAAAUCAAUUUCUUGGGUUGGUUGACCAACUGGGAACUGGUAAAGUAAGUUAGCAAUCCGAGCAAAACCAAGGUCGUUAGGUAACUUGGAAUUGGGAACUUGCUGUUUGGAAUAGCUGGAGUGGUCAUGGGUCGACAGGAAGGAUUUAUAUGACUGAUUUCUUGAUACUAUGCUUGGGUUUUGAAACAAUUUAAUUUCGCUUACUAUUUGCUUCCGCUGAACUUAUAGAUUUUCGUUUAAACUUAUUGAAGAUGUUUUUAUUAAUAAUGGGGAUUUUAAUUAUAACUUGUAUGGGUUCAAUGUGAUUGGUGGCUCGUUAUUGGUAUGUCACACGCCUAACAG